GACGAACGCUGGCGGCGUGCCUAAUACAUGCAAGUAGAACGCUGAAGGAGGAGCUUGCUUCUCUGGAUGAGUUGCGAACGGGUGAGUAACGCGUAGGUAACCUGCCUGGUAGCGGGGGAUAACUAUUGGAAACGAUAGCUAAUACCGCAUAACAGUAGAUAUCGCAUGAUAUCUACUUGAAAGGUGCAAUUGCAUCACUACCAGAUGGACCUGCGUUGUAUUAGCUAGUUGGUGAGGUAACGGCUCACCAAGGCGACGAUACAUAGCCGACCUGAGAGGGUGAUCGGCCACACUGGGACUGAGACACGGCCCAGACUCCUACGGGAGGCAGCAGUAGGGAAUCUUCGGCAAUGGACGGAAGUCUGACCGAGCAACGCCGCGGGAGGGAAGAAGGGUUUCGGAUCGUGAAGCUCGGUUGUAAGAGAAGAACGAGGGUGAGAGUGGAAAGUUCACACUGUGACGGUAGCUGACCAGAAAGGGACGGCUAACUACGUG
RNAcentral lists this ribosomal RNA (495 nucleotides) under uncultured bacterium. RNAcentral's name for it is "partial 16S ribosomal RNA". It matches the Rfam family "Bacterial small subunit ribosomal RNA", at positions 28 to 507 of the family's 1533-position model. The record is from RNAcentral.